AGGCGGAUAUUUAAGUCAGGGGUGAAAUCCCAGAGCUCAACUCUGGAACUGCCUUUGAUACUGGGUAUCUUGAGUAUGGAAGAGGUAAGUGGAAUUCCGAGUGUAGAGGUGAAAUUCGUAGAUAUUCGGAGGAACACCAGUGGCGAAGGCAGGUUACUGGGCAGUUACUGACGCUGAGGAGCGAAAGCAUGGGUAGCGAACA
RNAcentral lists this ribosomal RNA (202 nucleotides) under uncultured bacterium. RNAcentral describes it as "partial 16S ribosomal RNA". It matches the Rfam family "Bacterial small subunit ribosomal RNA", at positions 573 to 774 of the family's 1533-position model. The record is from RNAcentral.